CCCAGCACCAGCGGGCCUGGGACCAGACAGCUUUGCUGGUCCCUCCCUGUAUGACCUUGAGAAGUUCCUCCCUGCCUCCCCUCUGGGUCUUAGUUUCCUUGUGGGGGGAUGGGACACGACCACACCCCACACCGGAAGCCCCUUUCGGCUCUCAGGGUCCGUGACCGGAAGUGGGAAGUACAAUAGGCCCAAGCACCGGAAGUGUUUCUGAACAAGCAACAGGAUGGAGAAACCCUGGAGAGAGGAGUCAGGAGUUCCACCUGCUCUGUCAGCCAGCGACUGGUCUCUGCUCCGUUGCUGAAGGUAAAGGUCCUGAGAAAAACCAGCAUCGACCGCAGCUGUCCUCAGGGAUACGUGUACACUCGAGAUAAGGCAGAACACGGCAAAGCAAGGAUUCAGAUCCUGCCUCACUCAAAGCCACUGAGUUUCUCUGACAAUCUGAAUGACCUGCCUGACGAUUCUCUUCGCUUAGCAUGGUAAGCUGAAGAUCUUUGAAAACAAAACAAAACAAAACAGUGUAACUAGGGGCACCUGGGUGGCCCCGUCGGUUGAGCGUCCGACUCGUGAUUUCGGCUCAGGUCCUGAUCUCACAGUUCGUGAGGCUCCGAGCUGACAGAGUGGAGCCCGCUUGAGAUUCGCUCUCUUUCUUUCUCUGCCCCUCCCCCCACCUCU
Molecule: long non-coding RNA, 672 nt
Filed under: Felis catus (domestic cat)
Lineage: Eukaryota; Metazoa; Chordata; Mammalia; Carnivora; Felidae
Description: lncRNA (ENSFCAG00000052038.1)
Source: RNAcentral